RNAcentral lists this ribosomal RNA (964 nucleotides) under bacterium enrichment culture clone PAH48-P1. RNAcentral's name for it is "bacterial SSU rRNA". It matches the Rfam family "Bacterial small subunit ribosomal RNA", at positions 43 to 995 of the family's 1533-position model. The record is from RNAcentral.
UAUGCUUAACACAUGCAAGUCGAACGGCAGCACGAGAGAGCUUGCUCUCUUGGUGGCGAGUGGCGGACGGGUGAGUAACGCGUAAGAAUCUGCCUAGUAGUGGGGGAUAACUCGGGGAAACUCGAGCUAAUACCGCAUACGCCCUACGGGGGAAAGUGGGGGACCUUCGGGCCUCACGCUAUUAGAUGAGCUUGCGUUGGAUUAGCUAGUUGGUGAGGUAAUGGCUCACCAAGGCGACGAUCCAUAGCUGGUCUGAGAGGACGAUCAGCCACACUGGGACUGAGACACGGCCCAGACUCCUACGGGAGGCAGCAGUGGGGAAUAUUGGACAAUGGGCGCAAGCCUGAUCCAGCAAUACCGCGUGUGUGAAGAAGGCCUGCGGGUUGUAAAGCACUUUCAAUUGUGAAGAAAAGCUUGGGGUUAAUAGCCCCGAGUCUUGACGUUAACUUUAGAAGAAGCACCGGCUAACUCUGUGCCAGCAGCCGCGGUAAUACAGAGGGUGCGAGCGUUAAUCGGAAUUACUGGGCGUAAAGCGUGCGUAGGCGGUUUAGUAAGUCAGAUGUGAAAGCCCUGGGCUUAACCUGGGAACUGCAUUUGAAACUGCUGAACUAGAGUGUGGUAGAGGGAAGUGGAAUUCCGGGUGUAGCGGUGAAAUGCGUAGAUAUCCGGAGGAACACCAGUGGCGAAGGCGACUUCCUGGACCAACACUGACGCUGAGGUACGAAAGCGUGGGUAGCAAACAGGAUUAGAUACCCUGGUAGUCCACGCCGUAAACGAUGUCAACUAGUUGUUGGGAGCAUUCUGGCUUUUAGUAACGUAGCUAACGCGAUAAGUUGACCGCCUGGGGAGUACGGCCGCAAGGUUAAAACUCAAAGGAAUUGACGGGGGCCCGCACAAGCGGUGGAGCAUGUGGUUUAAUUCGAUGCAACGCGAAGAACCUUACCAGCCCUUGACAUCCUGCGAA